CCUCCCGUGAUGAUGCAUUUUAGACUUUCGUUCUCCUGAGCUUGCUGAAGCCAAGGAUUUCAAUCUGAGGAGG
This 73-nucleotide small nucleolar RNA is filed under the name Cuculus canorus (common cuckoo). Its description in RNAcentral is "Small nucleolar RNA SNORD59". It matches the Rfam family "Small nucleolar RNA SNORD59". From Rfam's summary of the family: U59 belongs to the C/D class of snoRNA which contain the C (UGAUGA) and D (CUGA) box motifs. Lineage: Eukaryota; Metazoa; Chordata; Aves; Cuculiformes; Cuculidae. The record is from Rfam by way of RNAcentral.